GACGAACGCUGGCGGCGUGCUUAACACAUGCAAGUCGAACGGAAAGGCCCUGCUUUUGUGGGGUGCUCGAGUGGCGAACGGGUGAGUAACACGUGAGUAACCUGCCCUUGACUUUGGUAUAACUUCAGGUAACUGGGGCUAAUACCGGAUAGGAGCUCCUGCUGCAUGGUGGGGGUUGGAAAGUUUCGGCGGUUGGGGAUGGACUCGCGGCUUAUCAGCUUGUUGGUGGGGUAGUGGCUUACCAAGGCUUUGACGGGUAGCCGGCCUGAGAGGGUGACCGGCCACAUUGGGACUGAGAUACGGCCCAGACUCCUACGGGAGGCAGCAGUGGGGAAUAUUGCACAAUGGGCGGAAGCCUGAUGCAGCAACGCCGCGUGCGGGAUGACGGCCUUCGGGUUGUAAACCGCUUUCGCCUGUGACGAAGCGUGAGUGACGGUAAUGGGUAAAGAAGCACCGGCUAACUACGUG
Molecule: ribosomal RNA, 468 nt
Filed under: uncultured bacterium
Lineage: Bacteria
Description: partial 16S ribosomal RNA
Rfam family: Bacterial small subunit ribosomal RNA
Source: RNAcentral